UAGGGAAUCUUCCACAAUGGGCGCAAGCCUGAUGGAGCAACACCGCGUGAGUGAAGAAGGGUUUCGGCUCGUAAAACUCUGUUGUUGAAGAAGAACGUGCGUGAGAGUAACUGUUCACGCAGUGACGGUAUUCAACCAGAAAGUCACGGCUAACUACGUGCCAGCAGCCGCGGUAAUACGUAGGUGGCAAGCGUUAUCCGGAUUUAUUGGGCGUAAAGCGAGCGCAGGCGGUUUUCUAAGUCUGAUGUGAAAGCCUUCGGCUUAACCGGAGAAGGGCAUCGGAAACUGGAUAACUUGAGUGCAAGAGAGGACAGUGGAACUCCAUGUGUAGCGGUGGAAUGCGUAGAUAUAUGGAAGAACACCAGUGGCGAAGGCGGCUGUCUAGCUUGCAACUGACGCUGAGGCUCGAAAGCAUGGGUAGCGAACA
Molecule: ribosomal RNA, 427 nt
Filed under: uncultured bacterium
Lineage: Bacteria
Description: bacterial SSU rRNA
Rfam family: Bacterial small subunit ribosomal RNA
Source: RNAcentral